GCCGAAAUAGCCCACUUGGGAGAGCUUUAGAAUGAAGAUCUAAAGGUCCCUGGUUCGAUAACGGGUUUCGGCA
This 73-nucleotide transfer RNA is filed under the name Salmo salar (Atlantic salmon). It matches the Rfam family "tRNA". Rfam says of the family: Transfer RNA (tRNA) molecules are approximately 80 nucleotides in length. Lineage: Eukaryota; Metazoa; Chordata; Actinopteri; Salmoniformes; Salmonidae. The record is from Rfam by way of RNAcentral.